UGAACGACUCUCGAUAAUGGAUAUCUCGGCUCUCACAUCGAUGAAGAAUGUAGUGAAAUGCGAUAUUUGGUGUGAAUUGCAGAAUCCUAUGAACCAUUGAGUCUUUGAACGCAAGUUGUGCCCGAAGUCGUCAGGCCGAGGGCAUGUUUGCCUGGGCGUCUCAC
Molecule: ribosomal RNA, 164 nt
Filed under: Cornus officinalis
Lineage: Eukaryota; Viridiplantae; Streptophyta; Magnoliopsida; Cornales; Cornaceae
Description: 5.8S ribosomal RNA
Rfam family: 5.8S ribosomal RNA
About the family: 5.8S ribosomal RNA (5.8S rRNA) is a component of the large subunit of the eukaryotic ribosome. It is transcribed by RNA polymerase I as part of the 45S precursor that also contains 18S and 28S rRNA.
Source: RNAcentral